RNAcentral lists this ribosomal RNA (253 nucleotides) under uncultured bacterium. RNAcentral describes it as "partial 16S ribosomal RNA". It matches the Rfam family "Bacterial small subunit ribosomal RNA", at positions 524 to 776 of the family's 1533-position model. The record is from RNAcentral.
UACAGAGGUCCCAAGCGUUGUUCGGAUUCACUGGGCGUAAAGGGUGCGUAGGCGGUCGGGUAAGUCUGUUGUGAAAUCUCCGAGCUUAACUCGGAAACUGCAGUGGAUACUAUCCGGCUUGAGGAAUGGAGGGGAGACUGGAAUACUUGGUGUAGCAGUGAAAUGCGUAGAUAUCAAGUGGAACACCAGUGGCGAAGGCGAGUCUCUGGACAUUUCCUGACGCUGAGGCACGAAAGCCAGGGGAGCAAACGGG